GCUCCGGUGGCCUAUCGGUUAUAGCAUUCGUCUCGAAAGCGGGAGGUCGUGGGUUCGAACCCCGGCCGAGUCA
This is a non-coding RNA of Potamilus streckersoni, 73 nucleotides long. Lineage: Eukaryota; Metazoa; Mollusca; Bivalvia; Unionida; Unionidae. The record is from the annotation of a GenBank genome assembly.